This is a long non-coding RNA of Mesocricetus auratus (golden hamster), 1484 nucleotides long. RefSeq lists it as uncharacterized. The transcript is spliced from 3 exons. The record is from RefSeq and is a predicted model, not a curated record. NCBI's taxonomy places the organism in Eukaryota, Metazoa, Chordata, Mammalia, Rodentia, Cricetidae.
UGGUAACCGUAGCAACUGUAACCUGCAAUUCCUGCACAGCCAAAGUCAGAUUUAUUGUGGCAGGGGCAAACAGGCCAAGAGUAAAAUGAAGCUGGAAACUAUGGCACCUGACACCUCUAGUGGCCCACACUUUAAUCAGAGCUGGCAGAAAUUAAUUCAAGAGGAAUUUUUUACACGGUUCCACUGUCGUACUCUGCCUUUAUGCUUGACUACAAGAAUCUUAAUGAGACUCUCUUGACAUCCCAAAACAAGGGGAAAAAUGUCCAUGAAGCUCGCAACAGGAACGUUAAAAUGCAAGAUACCGGAGAAGAGUCCCAUGAGAUGAACUUGGAAUUUUUGCCACAAAGACUAGCAUCGUGAGAUUCUCUUUACAUAUAAGAGAAAUCUGGAUACUUUAUGUCAGUAAGAAGAGGAAGUUGGUUGCAAGUCCUCAAAGGAUCAGUUUUCUGCCUUUAUUUAUUCGUGUUGUGAAAAUAGUGAUUCUACAUUUCUAUGUGUAAUGUCCUUAGAAAUCUGAGGUCCUUUCUACCCUCUUAUCCCCCAUCUCACAUCCGCUCUUAAAGACACAAAUUUCACUAAAAGUUACACAAUGGACCACAGAAAUCAGUACAAGAGGACCUUAGGGUUUUGUUUUGUUUUUUAUGCUCCUGUCUUCAGAAAAGCUUUAAAAUCUAUGAACAUUUAGUGAUUACGACUAAGCAUGUCAUCUUAAAAACAAAACUCCCAAGACUCGAAGGAGACACUUACAGAACUCUGAGGUGCCUGAGACCAGCAAAAUCUGUCUUCGUGAUCCUUGUGAUGUUAUUUCCAUUGAGAUCCCUAAGAGACAACCACAAAUUAAAGUUCCUUUUUAUUUCUAUUAUAUUUGGUUAAACAAAGUAAAACUUAAAGCAUGUUGGAGCUUUAGAAAAAAAAAACUUUAAUUCAAUUAGUGUGGCUUAAAAAGUAAGCCAGAGAGCAAAGGGAACAACAAGCCUUUGAAAUAAUAGUUUAUAAAGGUCUUAUGUUUACAAAAUUCUUGCUGACAUAUGACAAGAAAAUGAAAUAAUGAUGUCAUCACUAGCCCUGGCUUUUGUUGUGUUUUUGGCCUGUUGUGUGUGAGUGCUUUCGAUUUUGGUUUCCAAAGAAAUAUGGGUAUUUAUUUACUGAGUUACUCUGCAAUGUUUGCCUUUAUUUUUAGCAUUGCCCCCAAGAAUUUUCUUUCCGGAAGUUUGAUGAAAAAAUUUCUCAUAGUAUUCGGAGAGAAAAUUUUAAAGAUAGAACACAUUGUGGCCAAAAUUCCGGAGGCAAAGAAAAGUGUGUGUCAGGGAGAGUUCCAGCACCUCAAAGAUCUCCCCACUUUUUUUAGGUCCCUGGGGAAGCUGAACUCUUUUAUUGCAGCUCUUGGCUCCCCCACCCCCACCCCUGUACCCCUGCCCCAGCUCUGACUGUGACUAUAGUUUAAACUUCCAGUGAGAACAAUAAUGGAAGUAGGAUUUGGCCUU